This 468-nucleotide ribosomal RNA is filed under the name uncultured bacterium. Its description in RNAcentral is "partial 16S ribosomal RNA". It matches the Rfam family "Bacterial small subunit ribosomal RNA", at positions 28 to 507 of the family's 1533-position model. The record is from RNAcentral.
GACGAACGCUGGCGGCGUGCUUAACACAUGCAAGUCGAACGGAAAGGCCCUGCUUUUGUGGGGUGCUCGAGUGGCGAACGGGUGAGUAACACGUGAGUAACCUGCCCUUGACUUUGGGAUAACUUCAGGAAACUGGGGCUAAUACCUGAUAGGAGCUCCUGCUGCAUGGUGGGGGUUGGAAAGUUUCGGCGGUUGGGGCUGGACUCGCGGCUUAUCAGCUUGUUGGUGGGGUAGUGGCUUACCAAGGCUUUGACGGGUAGCCGGCCUGAGAGGGUGACCGGCGACAUUGGGACUGAGAUACGGACCAGACUCCUACGGGAGGCAGUAGUGGAGAAUAUUGCACAAUGGGCGGAAGCCUGAUGCAGCAACGCCGCGUGCGGGAUGACGGCCUUCGGGUUGUAAACCGCUUUCGCCUGUGACGAAGCGUGAGUGACGGUAAUGGGUAAAGAAGCACCGGCUAACUACGUG